UACAGAGGGGGCUAGCGUUAUUCGGAAUUAUUGGGCGUAAAGGGCGCGUAGGCGGCCAUGCGUGUCUUCCGUGAAAUCCCUCGGCUUAACUGAGGACGUGCGGAAGAAACUGCAAGGCUCGAGUCCGGGAGAGGGGGGUGGAAUUCCCAGUGUAGCGGUGAAAUGCGUAGAUAUUGGGAGGAACACCGGUGGCGAAGGCGGCCCCCUGGACCGGUACUGACGCUGAGGUGCGAAAGCGUGGGGAGCAAACAGG
This 253-nucleotide ribosomal RNA is filed under the name uncultured bacterium. RNAcentral describes it as "partial 16S ribosomal RNA". It matches the Rfam family "Bacterial small subunit ribosomal RNA", at positions 524 to 776 of the family's 1533-position model. The record is from RNAcentral.